Molecule: ribosomal RNA, 555 nt
Filed under: uncultured eukaryote
Lineage: Eukaryota
Description: bacterial SSU rRNA
Rfam family: Eukaryotic small subunit ribosomal RNA
Source: RNAcentral
CGGUAAUUCCAGCUCCAAUAGCGUAUACUAAAGUUGUUGCUGUUAAAAAGCUCGUAGUUGAACUUCUGACAGCGAGCAGGUUUGGCUUUGGCCAGCCUGUUCGUUGUCAUCCGCCUGCAAACCUUGUACGUCCUUCAGUGGUUCGGCAAGGGGAGUAGACAAUUUACUUUGAAAAAAUUAGAGUGUUCAAAGCAGGUAUUAGCCUGAAUACUUUAGCAUGGAAUAAUGGAAUACGACUCUUGUCUAUUUAUGUUGGUUAUUAGACUUGAGUAAUGAUUAAUAGGGACAGUUGAAGGCAUUAGUACUUAAUUGUCAGAGGUGAAAUUCAUGGAUUUAUUAAAGACUAACUAAUGCGAAAGCAUUUGCCAAGGAUGUUUUCAUUAAUCAAGAACGAAAGUUCGAGGAUAGACAGCGAUCAGACACCACUUUAUUUCGAACUAUAAACUAUACCGAUUUGAGAUAGCCAAUUUUAAUCGAAUAAUUGGCUGCAUCACAUGAGAAAUCCAAAUCUUUGGGUUCUGGGGGGAGUAUGGUCGCAAGAUUGAAACUUAAAGG